This is a long non-coding RNA of Felis catus (domestic cat), 530 nucleotides long. RefSeq lists it as uncharacterized. Lineage: Eukaryota; Metazoa; Chordata; Mammalia; Carnivora; Felidae. The record is from RefSeq and is a predicted model, not a curated record. The transcript is spliced from 4 exons.
AGGUGGAAUCUAAGUGAUCAGCAGGACGCGCGGUGAGCCCAGUGUCCUCCGACGCCGCCAUCUUCCGACCUCUCCCUACAUUGUUUUUAUUUCUCUUGAGGAAAUGCUUCUGAGCUGAACUACCGUGCCAUGUGCUGGAAGGCCCUGCCCUUCAUGUCUCAUUCUGCCCAAUUUCCAGUCUUAAGAACUUCAGCUCAGGGACAGGAUCGGAGUCACUUGGAGGGGAGGAGGGCUUACACACUGCUGGCCUCCAUUUCUUAUAGUGCUCUCCAACCAUGAGUAUUCUGACACUACUCCACACCCACAAUGAAAGCCACUCCUUUUUAGAAAUGAUGACCUGAAGAACUCUUGAGAACACGUUGUUUAAUAUUCUUACAUUACAUAUAUGUAUACAUGGCAUAUAUUAUUGUCUCCCAAAGCAUACUGGAAAUGUCAGAGACUUUAUCCUAUACCCAUUAGUAAUCUACAUCUUGCCUAGUCAAACUGUGCUAAGACAUAAAAAUAUAUCAACAAUAAAUACUUUGUUGAAA